Lepisosteus oculatus (spotted gar) is the source of this 119-nucleotide ribosomal RNA. The record is from Ensembl. NCBI's taxonomy places the organism in Eukaryota, Metazoa, Chordata, Actinopteri, Semionotiformes, Lepisosteidae.
ACCAGCAGCCAUUUAACCCUGCAACUCACAACUGGCAGCCCACUGAAGCUAAGCAGGUGUGAGCCUGGUCAGUACCUGGAUGGGAGACCUCCUGGGAAAAACUAAGGUUGCUGCUGGAA